RNAcentral lists this ribosomal RNA (467 nucleotides) under uncultured bacterium. RNAcentral describes it as "partial 16S ribosomal RNA". It matches the Rfam family "Bacterial small subunit ribosomal RNA", at positions 28 to 507 of the family's 1533-position model. The record is from RNAcentral.
GAUGAACGCUGACAGAAUGCUUAACACAUGCAAGUCAACUUGAAUUUGGGUUUUUAACUUCGGUUUGGGUGGCGGACGGGUGAGUAACGCGUAAAGAACUUGCCUCACAGCUAGGGACAACAUUUGGAAACGAAUGCUAAUACCUAAUAUUAUGAUAAUAGGGCAUCCUAUAAUUAUGAAAGCUAUAAGCGCUGUGAGAGAGCUUUGCGUCCCAUUAGCUAGUUGGAGAGGUAACGGCUCACCAGGGCGAUGAUGGGUAGCCGGCCUGAGAGGGUGAUCGGCCACAAGGGGACGGAGACACGGCCCUUACUCCUACGGGAGGCAGCAGUGGGGAAUAUUGGACAAUGGACCGAGAGUCUGAUCCAGCAAUUCUGUGUGCACGAUGAAGUUUUUCGGAAUGUAAAGUGCUUUCAGUUGGGAAGAAACAAAUGACGGUACCAACAGAAGAAGUGACGGCUAAAUACGUG